GGGGACUCCGGACCCGCAGCUGGUUCGGGUCUCAGUCUGCAGCUUCCAGCCGACGCGCAGCUUCCGGUCUCCUGGUCUGUGUGGGUUUCGGGUUCUUGGUGUUUUCUUGGUUCUGGUUCUGAUGCCCCAGGACUACCGGCAGCCUGCAGCUCCUCCCCCGGCCUACAGGGCGGCAGCAGAGAGCGGCGGCCGGACGCCGGACCGGCGGAGCGUCGGCAUGAAGGACUUCUGGCACAAGAUGGGCUGCUGCGUGGCGGCCAAGGCCCCGCCGGUGAGGGGGGGGGGGCUGCUUCCUGUUGUCAUGAUGAUGUUAUCAAGUCAUGUCAAAACAUCUGAUGAAACAUUAAAUCUUAGAAAACUUAAUAAAAAUAUAAAAAAACGA
Molecule: long non-coding RNA, 382 nt
Organism: Pseudoliparis swirei
Lineage: Eukaryota; Metazoa; Chordata; Actinopteri; Perciformes; Liparidae
Exons: 2
Source: RefSeq, a predicted model, not a curated record